This is a non-coding RNA of Oryza sativa Japonica Group (Japanese rice), 1470 nucleotides long. Lineage: Eukaryota; Viridiplantae; Streptophyta; Magnoliopsida; Poales; Poaceae. The record is from RefSeq and is a predicted model, not a curated record.
ACGCAUUCACGUACACAUUGUAUGAAAAUGCUUCAACUCGUACGUCCGGCGUGUGACAAAAAAUCGAACGCUAACCACUCUCUCCAUUUCUUUCCCCAGCACAACAGUUAACCUUAUCUCAUUUCCAACCAUUCAUUUUCCUCUCCUCUCUCCCCACGCCUGUACUAGCAGUGGCCAAGCAGGCGGACGCAGAGCGACAAGGCGGCGGCGGUGCCGGAGUGGAGGAGCGCGGUGGCCCGAGGGGAGGCGGUGGCGGGGGCGGAGCACACCUCCAUCGUGCCUGGGCUCCGGCGGCGGCGCUCGGACGAGGACGAUGCAGCGGUGCCGGAGCGGAGGAGCGCGGCGGUGCGGCGGCCCGAGGGGAGGCGGAGGCGGCAGGGGCGGAGCACGCCUCCAUCAUGCCUGUGCUCCAGCGAUGGCGAUGGUGAUGGCGGGAGUGAAUCUGAAGACAUGGCCACCGGCGGAGACCUGAUGCGGAUGCAGCUGUUCCUAGCCGAGGUCGUCCAUCUCGUGCUGCUGCUCGUCUGGGGACGACGGCCGGAGUUGAGGGUGGUCGCUAGCGCUGGAGUUGAAGAAGAAGACGGAGGGAUAAAACAUGUGAAACAUUCCUCGGUAAGACGGUGCAACACCGUCCGAUGAUUUGCACCAGAUCGGACGUCCGAUCCGUAGCGGCCUCCCACAUCGCACUUACGCCCGGUCACACAUAAUGAUAAGAGCUUUAUGGAGGUUAUAUUGGGUUUUAGCAUUUCCCGCUCCGUGUAAAUUACAACUAUGUUAAGUGUAUGUUUACGUUUGUGGAUAUUUAUUAGCCAUAGAACUCAUGUUAAAUUGUUAAUAUCGCCCUCUUAAUAGCAUGUGAAGCUCCACCACUAAUGAUACGAUCAAACUAGAUCGAACCGCUCAAGUUGUUGGUUCACCAGCCAAACCGCCCUUUUUUAUUAAUUGAUAUUAUAUUUGUUUUGCAUUAUUUUUAAUACAGAAACACCAGAAAUUGAUGAAAAUAUAUAUGAAUAAAUGUUUUAAAAAUACCACCAAUAUAUCUAAGAAUACAUGAACAUCACAGCAUCACAAAAACAAAUGAUAGAAUCGUAACAUAAAUAAAUCCAUAAUACUGUAUCAUGGUAAUAGUGCCCCAACAGACUAACAGCUUAAUAAAGUUUAUAAGGUAUGCAUAGGAAAAUUAAAAGGGUAAGUAUAUGGCUCUUAACCCAUACAAGGCGAGUACACAGCCAACAAAUUCAUGACAAAAACUCCUAAACAUGAGAAAAAUUCCAAUCAGCAAGCUAGGUUAUUAUCCCAUUGAUCGUUGUUUGCUUCAUUUGGUUGUCCAAUAUCACCACUAAAAAGAGCAUGAUCAUCCAUAUCCAGGUGGUGCAUUUCCAUCUUCAGAAUUCCCAUCAUCAUCAAGAAGAUUAGCUUCAUCCACACUUACUAGUUCUUUCUCUGUUAUGUCAAUUUUAUGUUGAAUAU